UCUCCGUUGGUGAACCAGCGGAGAGAUCAUUACUGGAAUCGCAAGAUCCCACAACCCUGUGAACCUACCGAAACGUUGCCUCGGCGGGUGCCCGGCCUCUGCGCCGGGCGCUGCGCCCGCCGGCGGCCCCCUACUCUGUCUCUGCAGCGUGGCAUCUCAGAGUCCCAGAAAACAAGUCAAAACUUUCAACAACGGAUCUCUUGGCUCUA
Molecule: unclassified non-coding RNA, 209 nt
Filed under: plant metagenome
Description: partial contains small subunit ribosomal RNA, internal transcribed spacer 1, and 5.8S ribosomal RNA
Source: RNAcentral